CUGCUGCCUCCCGUAGGAGUCUGGUCCGUGUCUCAGUACCAGUGUGGGGGACCUUCCUCUCAGAACCCCUACGCAUCGUCGCCUCGGUGGGCCGUUACCCCGCCGACUAGCUAAUGCGACGCAUGGCCAUCCUAUGCCGGAGUCGCCUCCUUUGACCCCCUGGAGAUGUCUCCAAAUGGUGUUAUGCGGUAUUAGACGGAAUUUCUUCCGCUUAUCCCCCUGCAUAGGGCAGGUUCCAUACGUGUUACUCACCCGUGCCG
This 260-nucleotide ribosomal RNA is filed under the name uncultured bacterium. RNAcentral describes it as "partial 16S ribosomal RNA". The record is from RNAcentral.